GAUGAACGCUAGCUACAGGCUUAACACAUGCAAGUCGAGGGGUAACGAGAGGAAAGCUUGCUUUCCUUGUCGACGACCGGCGCAUGGGUGAGUAACGCGUAUCCAACCUGCCCCCAACUAAGGAAUAACCUUGCGAAAGUAAGACUAAUACCUUAUAAUUUCCUCAGAUGACAUCUGACGAGGAAUAAAGAUUUAUCGGUUGUGGAUGGGGAUGCGUCUGAUUAGCUUGUUGGCGGGGUAACGGCCCACCAAGGCAACGAUGAGUAGGGGUUCUGAGAGGAAGGUCCCCCACAUUGGAACUGAGACACGGUCCAAACUCCUAGGGGAGGCAGCAGUGAGGAGUAUUGGUCAAUGGGCGGAGGCCUGAACCCGCCAAGUAGCGUGCAGGAUGACGGCCCUAUGGGUUGUAAACUGCUUUUAUACAGGAAUAAAGUUAGCCACGUGUGGUUAUUUGUAGGUACUGUAUGAAUAAGGACCGGCUAAUUCCGUGCCAGCCGCCGCCGUAA
Molecule: ribosomal RNA, 506 nt
Filed under: uncultured bacterium
Lineage: Bacteria
Description: partial 16S ribosomal RNA
Rfam family: Bacterial small subunit ribosomal RNA
Source: RNAcentral